UUAUGACGUACUUGUACUGAUUGAGAUUUUAACACGAAGUGAGUGGCGAACGGGUGAGUAACACGUGGGUAACCUGCCCAGAAGUAGGGGAUAACACCUGGAAACAGAUGCUAAUACCGUAUAACAGAGAAAACCGCAUGGUUUUCUUUUAAAAGAUGGCUCUGCUAUCACUUCUGGAUGGACCCGCGGCGUAUUAGCUAGUUGGUGAGGUAAAGGCUCACCAAGGCAGUGAUACGUAGCCGACCUGAGAGGGUAAUCGGCCACAUUGGGACUGAGACACGGCCCAGACUCCUACGGGAGGCAGCAGUAGGGAAUCUUCCACAAUGGACGCAAGUCUGAUGGAGCAACGCCGCGUGAGUGAAGAAGGGUUUCGGCUCGUAAAGCUCUGUUGUUAAAGAAGAACGUGGGUAAGAGUAACUGUUUACCCAGUGACGGUAUUUAACCAGAAAGCCACGGCUAACUACGUGCCAGCAGCCGCGGUAAUACGUAGGUGGCAAGCGUUAUCCGGAUUUAUUGGGCGUAAAGCGAGCGCAGGCGGUCUUUUAAGUCUAAUGUGAAAGCCUUCGGCUCAACCGAAGAAGUGCAUUGGAAACUGGGAGACUUGAGUGCAGAAGAGGACAGUGGAACUCCAUGUGUAGCGGUGAAAUGCGUAGAUAUAUGGAAGAACACCAGUGGCGAAGGCGGCUGUCUGGUCUGCAACUGACGCUGAGGCUCGAAAGCAUGGGUAGCGAACAGGAUUAGAUACCCUGGUAGUCCAUGCCGUAAACGAUGAUUACUAAGUGUUGGAGGGUUUCCGCCCUUCAGUGCUGCAGCUAACGCAUUAAGUAAUCCGCCUGGGGAGUACGACCGCAAGGUUGAAACUCAAAGAAUUGACGGGGGCCCGCACAAGCGGUGGAGCAUGUGGUUUAAUUCGAAGCUACGCGAAGAACCUUACCAGGUCUUGACAUCUUCUGACAGUCUAAGAGAUUAGAGGUUCCCUUCGGGACAGAAUGACAGGUGGUGCAUGGUUGUCGUCAGCUCGUGUCGUGAGAUGUUGGGUUAAGUCCCGCAACGAGCGCAACCCUUAUUACUAGUUGCCAGCAUUAAGUUGGGCACUCUAGUGAGACUGCCGGUGACAAACCGGAGGAAGGUGGGGACGACGUCAAAUCAUCAUGCCCCUUAUGACCUGGGCUACACACGUGCUACAAUGGAUGGUACAACGAGUCGCGAAACCGCGAGGUUAAGCUAAUCUCUUAAAACCAUUCUCAGUUCGGACUGUAGGCUGCAACUCGCCUACACGAAGUCGGAAUCGCUAGUAAUCGCGGAUCAGCAUGCCGCGGUGAAUACGUUCCCGGGCCUUGUACACACCGCCCGUCACACCAUGAGAGUUUGUAACACCCAAAGCC
RNAcentral lists this ribosomal RNA (1385 nucleotides) under Pediococcus pentosaceus. Its description in RNAcentral is "bacterial SSU rRNA". It matches the Rfam family "Bacterial small subunit ribosomal RNA", at positions 64 to 1428 of the family's 1533-position model. Lineage: Bacteria; Bacillati; Bacillota; Bacilli; Lactobacillales; Lactobacillaceae. The record is from RNAcentral.